AGCGUCGCCUCACGCGGAGCAGAGCUGAGCUGAAGCGGGACCCGGAGCCCGAGCAGCCGCCGCCAUGGCAAGUGAGUCCUGCAGGGCAGCCCUACUGAGGCCGGGACGGAACAGAUCCACCUUCCCCACACCCGUGCGGUCGGGCGCCCGCCAGCCAACCCUGACCGGCCCCCUGCAGAACGCGGCCCGUGCCCCCGGCCCUUCUCGAGUAUCCCCAUGAGUCCCGGGUGCGGCCGGCUCCCCUGGCCCUUCCUCUCACUCGUCCUGGGCAGAAGGCUUCCCUGGGUAGCGCGGAAGGUUACUCCUCUGUGUCCCAACUCUUCCUGUUUUGUUUCUCCCAUCAAAGUCAAAUUUCUGGAAGUCAUCAAGCCCUUCUGUGUCAUCCUGCCGGAAAUUCAGAAGCCGGAGAGGAAGAUUCAGUUUAAGGAGAAAGUGCUGUGGACCGCUAUCACCCUCUUUAUCUUCUUAGUGUGCUGCCAGAUUCCCCUGUUUGGGAUCAUGUCUUCAGAUUCAGCUGACCCUUUCUAUUGGAUGAGAGUGAUUCUAGCCUCUAACAGA
This 558-nucleotide small RNA is filed under the name Pongo abelii (Sumatran orangutan). RNAcentral describes it as "retained intron". Lineage: Eukaryota; Metazoa; Chordata; Mammalia; Primates; Hominidae. The record is from RNAcentral.